GUGAGGAAUAUUGGACAAUGGGCGCAAGCCUGAUCCAGCCAUGCCGCGUGCAGGAAGACGCAUCUAUGGUGUGUAAACUGCUUUUGUACGGGAAGAAACACUCCCUCGUGAGGGAGCUUGACGGUACCGUAAGAAUAAGGAUCGGCUAACUCCGUGCCAGCAGCCGCGGUAAUACGGAGGAUCCAAGCGUUAUCCGGAAUCAUUGGGUUUAAAGGGUCCGUAGGCGGUUUAAUAAGUCAGUGGUGAAAGCCCAUCGCUCAACGAGGGAACGGCCAUUGAUACUGUUAGACUUGAAUUACAAGGAAGUAACUAGAAUAUGUAGUGUAGCGGUGAAAUGCUUAGAUAUUACAUGGAAUACCAAUUGCGAAGGCAGGUUACUACUUGUGGAUUGACGCUGAUGGACGAAAGCGUGGGGAGCGAACAGGAUUAGAUACCCUGGUAGUCC
This 445-nucleotide ribosomal RNA is filed under the name uncultured bacterium. RNAcentral describes it as "partial 16S ribosomal RNA". It matches the Rfam family "Bacterial small subunit ribosomal RNA", at positions 354 to 796 of the family's 1533-position model. The record is from RNAcentral.